GACGAACGCUGGCGGCGUGCUUAACACAUGCAAGUCGAACGGAAAGGCCCUGCUUUUGUGGGGUGCUCGAGUGGCGAACGGGUGAGUAACACGUGAGUAACCUGCCCUUGACUUUGGGAUAACUUCAGGAAACUGGGGCUAAUACCGUAUAGGAGCUCCUGCUGCAUGGUGGGGGUUGGAACGUUUCGGCGGUUGGGGAUGGACUCGCGGCUUAUCAGCUUGUUGGUGGGGUAGUGGCUUACCAAGGCUUUGACGGGUAGCCGGCCUGAGAGGGUGACCGGCCACAUUGGGACUGAGAUACGGCCCAGACUCCUACGGGAGGCAGCAGGGGGGAAUAUUGCACAAUGGGCGGAAGCCUGAUGCAGCAACGCCGCGUGCGGGAUGACGGCCUUCGGGUUGUAAACCGCUUUCGCCUGUGACGAAGCGUGAGUGACGGUAAUGGGUAAAGAAGCACCGGCUAACUACGUG
This 468-nucleotide ribosomal RNA is filed under the name uncultured bacterium. RNAcentral describes it as "partial 16S ribosomal RNA". It matches the Rfam family "Bacterial small subunit ribosomal RNA", at positions 28 to 507 of the family's 1533-position model. The record is from RNAcentral.